Molecule: non-coding RNA, 94 nt
Filed under: Bacteroides sp.
Lineage: Bacteria; Pseudomonadati; Bacteroidota; Bacteroidia; Bacteroidales; Bacteroidaceae
Also listed under: 1 other name
Description: TPP sequence
Rfam family: TPP riboswitch aptamer (THI element)
About the family: Vitamin B(1) in its active form thiamin pyrophosphate (TPP) is an essential coenzyme that is synthesised by coupling of pyrimidine and thiazole moieties in bacteria. The previously detected thiamin-regulatory element, thi box was extended, resulting in a new, highly conserved RNA secondary structure, the THI element, which is widely distributed in eubacteria and also occurs in some archaea. Analysis of operon structures identified a large number of new candidate thiamin-regulated genes, mostly transporters, in various prokaryotic organisms.
Source: RNAcentral
GAACAAACAAGGGGGUGCCCACUGGCGGGCUGAGAUCAUACCCUACGAACCUGAUGCGGUUAGUACCGCCGAAGGGAUUGUUACGGAAUCCAAC